UCAGGCCUAACACAUGCAAGUCGAACUAGCUCUAGCGCAAGUUAGAGUGGGUGGCGGACGGGUGAGGAACACGUAAGAACCUACCCCUAGGAGGAGGAUAACUGCUGGAAACGGCAGCUAAUACUCCAUAUGCUGAGGAGUGAAACGGGGAAACCCGGCCUAGGGACGGGCUUGCGUCUGAUUAGCUAGUUGGUGAGGUAAAUGCUUACCAAGGCGUCGAUCAGUAGCUGGUCUGAGAGGAUGAUCAGCCACACUGGGACUGAGACACGGCCCAGACUCCUACGGGAGGCAGCAGUGAGGAAUUUUCCGAAGUGGGCGAAAGCCUGACGGAGCAAUACCGCGUGAAGGAAGAGAGGCCUGUGGGUUGUAAACUUCUUUCUCAGAGACGAAAAAUGAC
RNAcentral lists this ribosomal RNA (397 nucleotides) under uncultured bacterium. RNAcentral describes it as "bacterial SSU rRNA". It matches the Rfam family "Bacterial small subunit ribosomal RNA", at positions 42 to 456 of the family's 1533-position model. The record is from RNAcentral.